Molecule: ribosomal RNA, 397 nt
Filed under: uncultured bacterium
Lineage: Bacteria
Description: partial 16S ribosomal RNA
Rfam family: Bacterial small subunit ribosomal RNA
Source: RNAcentral
AUACGUAGGGGGCGAGCGUUGUCCGGAAUGAUUGGGCGUAAAGGGCGCGUAGGCGGCCCGGUAAGUCUGGAGUGAAAGUCCUGCUUUUAAGGUGGGAAUUGCUUUGGAUACUGUCGGGCUUGAGUGCAGGAGAGGUAAGUGGAAUUCCCAGUGUAGCGGUGAAAUGCAUAGAGAUUGGGAGGAACACCAGUGGCGAAGGCGACUUACUGGACUGUAACUGACGCUGAGGCGCGAAAGUGUGGGGAGCAAACAGGAUUAGAUACCCUGGUAGUCCACACUGUAAACGAUGAAUGCUAGGUGUAGGGGGUAUCGACCCCUUCUGUGCCGCAGUUAACACAAUAAGCAUUCCGCCUGGGGAGUACGGCCGCAAGGUUGAAACUCAAAGGAAUUGACGGGG